CACCCUUUUGGGCAGAAACUGAACAGGGAGUUGCACAGGCAAUCAUUAGGUCUGUCAUAGAUUUUAAAAGGGAUCCUUGGCCAAAGGUUUCUGAUAAUGCCAAAGACCUGGUGAAAAAGAUGCUUGAUCCUGACCCAAAGCGUCGGCUUACAGCACAACAAGUGCUAGAUCAUCCUUGGUUGCAGAAUGCAAAGAAGGCACCUAAUGUUUCGUUGGGUGAAACAGUGAAAGCAAGGCUCAAGCAAUUCUCUGUAAUGAACAAACUCAAGAAAAGAGCUCUUAGGGUAAUAGCUGAGCAUUUGUCAGUAGAGGAAGUUGCUGGUAUAAAGGAGGGAUUUCAACUGAUGGAUACUAGCAAUAAGGGCAAAAUUAACAUUGAUGAGCUAAGAAUUGGUUUGCUGAAACUAGGUCAUCAGAUCACUGACACUGAUCUUCAAAUUCUAAUGGAAGCUGGUGAUGUAGAUCGUGAUGGGCAUCUGGACUAUGGGGAGUUUGUGACCAUUUCUGUUCACCUAAGAAAGAU
Molecule: unclassified non-coding RNA, 523 nt
Filed under: Hevea brasiliensis (rubber tree)
Lineage: Eukaryota; Viridiplantae; Streptophyta; Magnoliopsida; Malpighiales; Euphorbiaceae
Source: RNAcentral